RNAcentral lists this ribosomal RNA (268 nucleotides) under uncultured prokaryote. RNAcentral's name for it is "partial 16S ribosomal RNA". It matches the Rfam family "Bacterial small subunit ribosomal RNA", at positions 524 to 791 of the family's 1533-position model. The record is from RNAcentral.
UACGUAGGUGGCAAGCGUUGUCCGGAUUUACUGGGCGUAAAGGGAGCGUAGGCGGACUUUUAAGUGAGAUGUGAAAUACCCGGGCUCAACUUGGGUGCUGCAUUUCAAACUGGAAGUCUAGAGUGCAGGAGAGGAGAAUGGAAUUCCUAGUGUAGCGGUGAAAUGCGUAGAGAUUAGGAAGAACACCAGUGGCGAAGGCGAUUCUCUGGACUGUAACUGACGCUGAGGCUCGAAAGCGUGGGGAGCAAACAGGAUUAGAUACCCCGUA